This 226-nucleotide ribosomal RNA is filed under the name uncultured bacterium. RNAcentral's name for it is "partial 16S ribosomal RNA". It matches the Rfam family "Bacterial small subunit ribosomal RNA", at positions 111 to 334 of the family's 1533-position model. The record is from RNAcentral.
UAACACGUGAGCAACCUGCCUUUCCAGUGGGGGACAACAUUUGGAAACGAAUGCUAAUACCGCAUAAGACCACAGUGUCGCAUGGCACAGGGGUCAAAGGAUUUAUCCGCUGAAAGAUGGGCUCGCGUCCGAUUAGCUAGAUGGUGAGGUAACGGCCCACCAUGGCGACGAUCGGUAGCCGGACUGAGAGGUUGAACGGCCACAUUGGGACUGAGACACGGCCCAG